CACACGACUCUCAGCAACGGAUAUCUCGGCUCUCGCAUCGAUGAAGAACGUAGCGAAAUGCGAUACCUGGUGUGAAUUGCAGAAUCCCGCGAACCAUCGAGUCUUUGAACGCAAGUUGCGCCCGAGGCCACUCGGCCGAGGGCACGCCUGCCUGGGCGUCACGC
This 164-nucleotide ribosomal RNA is filed under the name Thinopyrum intermedium. RNAcentral's name for it is "5.8S ribosomal RNA". It matches the Rfam family "5.8S ribosomal RNA". From Rfam's summary of the family: 5.8S ribosomal RNA (5.8S rRNA) is a component of the large subunit of the eukaryotic ribosome. Lineage: Eukaryota; Viridiplantae; Streptophyta; Magnoliopsida; Poales; Poaceae. The record is from RNAcentral. RNAcentral also lists the same sequence under 1 other name.